CCUAGAGCCCGAGGAGUAUGUGGAGGAGCUUGCGGGGGUGAUGCCCGAGGAAGCUGCUGACCUCGAUGCAGAGGCCAUGCCAGAGUCCCUGAGAUACGAGGAGCUGGUCCAAAGAAAUGUGGAACUCUUCAUUGCCACCUCCCAGAAGUUUAUCCAGGAGAAAGAGCUGAGCCAAAGCAUCAGGGACUGGGAAGAUACCAUCCAACCCCUGCUCCAGGAGCAGGAGCAACAUGUGCCCUUUGAUAUCCAUACCUAUGGGGACCAGUUGGUUUCAGGGUUCCCCCAGCUCAAUGAAUGGUGUCCCUUUUCAGAGCUUGUAGCAGGGCAGCCUGCUUUUGAGGUGUGCCGCUCCAUGCUGGCCUCUUUGCAUCUGGCUAAUGACUACACAGUGGAGAUUACUCAGCAGCCAGGACUGGAGGAAGCUGUGGACACAAUGUCUCUGAGACUGCUCAUACACCAGCGAGCCCACACCCACUUCCAGACCUAUGCUGCACCAUCCAUGGCCCAGACUUGA
Molecule: RNA transcript, 514 nt
Organism: Mus pahari (shrew mouse)
Lineage: Eukaryota; Metazoa; Chordata; Mammalia; Rodentia; Muridae
Gene name: condensin-2 complex subunit H2 pseudogene
Exons: 1
Source: RefSeq, a predicted model, not a curated record